UUAUACUAUUCUAAACCAAAUCACACGGCGUCUUUAGGGCGAUUGGAUCUGAGCUCUCGUCCUGGUUCCUCCGUCACGGCGUUAACACAGCGAACCACACCGGAGUCCACUGCACGACGAGGAUUCGUCGUCCUCGAUCUCGCCCUCUCCUCUAUGCCCGCCGACGCGGGCCGCGUCUCCGUGUCCUCGACCAUGCUGCCAGCGGCAGUGAUGCGGUCUGGCGUCAGCGCCGACGGAGUUCCCGUCUUCUUCCCUGCAUCGCGAGCACAGUGCUGGCCUGCCUACGCCGGGGCUACUCGCCACAUGGCCGACCUGGAGGUGGAGACGCCACGACCAGGCCAUGCAAUUGCUGGGCUAUUCUUCCUCUGCUCCACGCUGUGGUUGAUGUUGUUGCAACAAAUAUUACAGGUUUAUUGAGCACGAUUACCAGCAAGGCGAAGCCGGUGGAGCUCAUGACCACCGCCAUGCACAAGGACUGGCCAAGCCCACAAAAGUUUAUUGGGCAUGAUGACCAGCAAGGUGAACAAGGUGGCGCGCACCACCACCGCCUCGCGCAAGGAAACGUCAAGCCUGCAAAGGAUUAACCAAAGGAGGAACUUGAAGAAUUGGAGGUAGCAGUGUGUCUUGUAAACAAGCAAGCAAUUCUCCCUGCUCCACAGAAAGCUACAGCUGAAGAUGAAGAACUUGCUACACUACAAGCUAAAACUUCGCUAUGACCAGGGUGACUACGAAGAGGAUUGAGAAAGAAAAUAGUAGUACAAACUUACAAAAUACUCUUUUACAGAGAUCUAGUCCUAAUAAGACUCAAGGUGGAAGGCUAAUUGUUAUUUCCCCAAAUGCGCUCAUACAAGCUGCAACAAAGAAUUCUCAAAUGUUUGAAGCAAUGGAUCCAAAGAACUAGAUGGACUGGACUCUGGAUCACGGGCAAUUUAGUCUUGGCACUUAAUUAGGAUGGCUAAAUUACAUUUGAUUUUCAUUUGAUGGAUAUUUGCUAUGAGAAUUAUGAAUUUUAUGAAUCUACAUAUUAUACGUAUGGUUUUGAAUAUUGUAAUUGAAUUCCUCUAUAUUUUUUUACAGUUGCAAUAGGAUAUUACCACAA
RNA transcript from Triticum aestivum (bread wheat), 1099 nucleotides. RefSeq lists it as uncharacterized. The record is from RefSeq and is a predicted model, not a curated record. NCBI's taxonomy places the organism in Eukaryota, Viridiplantae, Streptophyta, Magnoliopsida, Poales, Poaceae. The transcript has 7 exons.